ANAGUUUGAUUCUGGCUCAGAACGAACGCUGGCGGCGUGCUUAACACAUGCAAGUCGAACGCGAAAGGUUUCUUCGGGAACCGAGUAGAGUGGCGCACGGGUGAGUAACGCGUAAGUAAUCUACCCUGGCAUCUGGGAUAACCCACCGAAAGGUGUGCUAAUACCGGAUACGCUGGAGACAGGAAAGGUGGCCUCUUCAUGAAAGCUACUGUGCCGGGAUGAGCUUGCGUACCAUUAGCUAGUUGGUGGGGUAAAGGCCUACCAAGGCGACGAUGGUUAGCGGGUCUGAGAGGAUGAUCCGCCACACUGGAACUGGAACACGGACCAGACUCCUACGGGAGGCAGCAGUGAGGAAUAUUGCGCAAUGGGGGAAACCCUGACGCAGCGACGCCGCGUGGAUGAUGAAGGCCUUCGGGUCGUAAAAUCCUGUCAGAUGGGAAGAAGUGUAUUAUACCCAAUACGUAUGAUAUUUGACGGUACCAUCAAAGGAAGCACCGGCUAACUCCGUGCCAGCAGCCGCGGUAAUACGGAGGGUGCAAGCGUUGUUCGGAAUUACUGGGCGUAAAGCGCGCGUAGGCGGUUUUAUAAGUCAGAUGUGAAAGUCCACGGCUCAACCAUGGAAGUGCAUUUGAAACUGUAAGACUUGAGUAUUGGAGGGGGUAGUGGAAUUCCCGGUGUAGAGGUGAAAUUCGUAGAUAUCGGGAGGAAUACCGGUGGCGAAGGCGACUACCUGGCCAAAUACUGACGCUGAGGUGCGAAAAGCGUGGGGAGCAAAC
RNAcentral lists this ribosomal RNA (776 nucleotides) under uncultured delta proteobacterium. RNAcentral describes it as "bacterial SSU rRNA". It matches the Rfam family "Bacterial small subunit ribosomal RNA", at positions 8 to 773 of the family's 1533-position model. The record is from RNAcentral. Lineage: Bacteria; Deltaproteobacteria.